This 2927-nucleotide long non-coding RNA is filed under the name Mus musculus (house mouse). Its description in RNAcentral is "long non-coding RNA chr13:98538537-98541464". The record is from RNAcentral. Lineage: Eukaryota; Metazoa; Chordata; Mammalia; Rodentia; Muridae.
GGAACUACUAGUCCCCCUGCCUUAGCUUCCCCAGGGCUGGGCUCACUGGUGUGUAUCAGCCAGUACAGCCUGCACUAGAUAAGGCCAGCUGCAGAUGCCAGCUUAGAUAAAUGGCUUCUCCUGCAGGAACAUAUUCUCUCUGCCCUGCUGCCCUACCCCCACAACCCCAGAAGAAUCCCUUUGUUAGUUACACAUGAGCACAUGCCAGGAGCAGUUCAUCUAAAUGAGCAACUGCUUUCUGGGAGUAGACCCGACAGAAGAGAAGCUGGGCAAAGCUGCACUUGAGUGCCAAGCCUUGGCUGCAGAAAGAAAAGCCAGAUUGUUUCCAGGGACCAGUGAUGGACAAGCACCAAGUUGAGGCAAAGUGGCCUCGAGCUCUUCGCCAUUGCCCAGUGCUCGAUGCUUGGCAUCCUUCCUCGGAGCAUGGGAGAUGAUGGCUCUGGGGAAAUUCCAGUCUGCAACUCAUUGAAGCAGGAUAAACAGAACUCCUGCUCCAGAAGACUCUAUCCUGAACAAGAGGCUCUUGGAAUCUUCUUGGAGGUUUUGAUGUCCACAUAAACUAUAAACAACGGGGUUGGGAGAUACUUGGUGCAGCAGGCUGUGACCAUCAAGGUCAAAGGACGGGCAUAAGGGACAUCAUCUUAGACUUUUAUCCAUAAAGUGACUUUGGACAGCUCUGAGGAGCAACAAAGAUUUUGUUGAGUGGCCCCCCAAAAAAACUGUGAUGUAACUGUCUUUGUCUCUUUUAAAAUACAAUGCAUAAAGAAACAAGAGAUGCAAUCAAAUAUCUCAUGUGCCACAUUUUGCUUUGUAAACCCUACAUGUGUAACUCAGGAUAAAGCCGCCCUGCUGUCUGCUUAAGAGAAAGAAUGCUAAGAUUGCAAGGAAAGCUAUCUUAACAGCAGCAAAAGCCCGUCUUAACCACGUGUAACACAUUAUCCAAAUGAGGAUGUUUCCCAACAUUGCGUAACCAGAGAUUCCAGAAGUCCACUGGACACAGAGGCAAACCUGGCCGGCUUGCAUGUGUCUGUUCCACUUUGGGAAGUUAUUAAAAUGCCUUGUUAGACUUACUGGCUAGCCUACAAUUUUAACUUCACCCUAACUUCAAAAGGCAUUAAUAGCAAUAAGCCGCAGUUUAUCUAAUUGGGGGUGUAUCACCUAACGGGGCAAAGAAGCCACCACACCAGCUGCCAAUGGACAGAACAGGCUAGUUUUAGUAACAUGUUUAUAUGGGAAGUCAGAUUCUGUGCAAGAAAUGGACAGAUCCUUUGCUCUCAGCUGGCGAAGCGCAUCCCAUAAUCCUUGCUGCUUACUUCAGAACCUGACAUGUUCUAGCCCCAGGGACUGACAGAACCUUGGACCCUUGUGGGGUACUUGCUUGUCUCAAAUGACAUGUGCUCAGGGACACAAUUGUGUCGGUAACACUGCUUGAAGUUAAUAUUUUAGUUUAAAAUGUGUAACAUCAAGGUGUAAGUAAGAUCUGGGUGAAUUCUGAUGUUCCCUCAGCCCUGCUCCAUCACCUACAAUGAACAUGCUGAUUUCCUGCUUGUGCAAAGACAGUCUCCCUUCCCUACCUGUCACAUACACUAGGCAGCGCUUCUCAUGCUGUGUCAGAGUCACCUGGAGAAGCUGUUAGAAUAGGGACCCAGAGCCCAGAUCUCAGCAAUCCCAAUUCUCCAGGGUUAGGAGAGGAUAGAGGUUGUUCAUUUAAGGUCGUCUCAGGUGAGACUAGCUCUACUGUACGAACAGCAUUGAGUCUGUACAAACAUAAAUUCUAUGAGGCAUGUGACACAUCUGCCUCACAGAAGAGAGUGCAGAAGGCUACAGUAGGACAAGGGGUGUCACACAGGGUGUCCUCCUCCAUCAUCAGCUGGUGGCAGGGUCUGGAUCCACAGAGGCUGUGUGCCAGUCUCAGACCUGGCUUCCAAACAGAGAACAAAUGUGGGGAACAGUGAGAUUAGGGCAAGAGCCAAUGCCUUGAAAAUGAACAUGAGACUGGAAGAGUAGGGCACUUGGAAGACUAGGCCGUGAGACUGUGGCUGUCCUAGAGAGAGAGAGAGAGCACUGUCCUGGGGAGCACUGUCCUAGGGAGCACUGUCCUGGGAGUACUGUCCUAGGGAGCACUGUCCUAGGGAGCACUGUCCUAGGGAGCACUGUCCUCGGGAGCACUGCCCUCGGGAGCACUGUCCUAGGGAGCACUGUCCUCGGGAGCACUGUCCUGGGAGCACUGUCCUUGGGAGCACUGUCCUUGGGAGCACUGUCCUGGGGAGCAUUGUCCUAGGGAGCACUGUCCUGGGAGUACUGUCCCAGGGAGCAUUAGGAGGUUCUUUCUAGAAAACUUCACUGUGGGGACAGGUAGCCCUGUAGUGCCAAGAGCAAACUCAAUCAGCGAUAGCAAACAAAACCAGUCACAGAGCACUUACUCUGUUUUCUUUACCCUGCUCCCAUCUGCUUAGGAUGAACCCCUUUCUGUGGCCAAGACACCAGGAUGUUUCCUUGCCCAUCUCUGGUUUAAAAGGUCAGCCGCACCCCCAAGAAAAUCUCCUGGGUAGGCGCCGUGACUGAAGAAACAGCCCGAGCAACCGUUUGAUACCUAGCCCUGUCACUUUCAAGUCUGCUGUUCGAAUCCUGGGAUAGACCAAUGAAAAGACACAGUCGGAUGUCCUACAGGGCAGUGUGCUGUGGCUUCAAUUGGGAACGUCAUGGGUCUCGUUCCUUAUAAGCUGAUUAAAAUGUUUUCUUUCUUUCAUAAUUUACCCACAAGCCUUAAUUAAAGCAUCAAAAGAUAUGUAUUUGGACCUAUAAAGUCAUAAUAAGCCUAAGCAAAAGGAACUUCCAUUGAGCCUCUGCAUCUCGGGAAACGCUCUUUAAAGUGGCCGUAUUGGAGUUAAAUUGGACAGUACUUUUCUUCAGAGAGGUUAAACUCC